CAACCCUCAAGCUCAGCUUGGUAUUGGGUGUCACCUAGCAAUGGUGCACCUUAAAAUCAGUGGCGGUGCCAUCUGGCUUCAAGCGUAGUAAUUCUCUCGCUUUGGAGGUUUUGGAUGUGUUCUUGCCCAUCAAUCCCUAAUUUAUCAAU
This 149-nucleotide unclassified non-coding RNA is filed under the name uncultured Helotiales. Its description in RNAcentral is "sequence contains ITS2". Lineage: Eukaryota; Fungi; Ascomycota; Leotiomycetes; Helotiales. The record is from RNAcentral.